Molecule: ribosomal RNA, 45 nt
Filed under: Russula abietina
Lineage: Eukaryota; Fungi; Basidiomycota; Agaricomycetes; Russulales; Russulaceae
Description: partial 28S ribosomal RNA
Source: RNAcentral
ACAAAAGGAUGGUGCUCCGGUCGCGGUCGGACCCACCAAAAAAAC